UACGUGAAAGAAGAGGACAUCUUAAGAGUUCAUACAACCUGUUCAGUGCCAAACUGUUCACAUGAACAAAGAAACAGCAUUUUGGUUCAGUAAUUAGUUUGACCUAUAGGUCUCCUCAAAAUUCACCACAAAUGAGCUCCUCAGGCUCCUCAGUAAGAAAAUGGAUGGGCUCACGCUUCAAGCAGAUGAACACUCAACUUGCCUGACAGUCCUUGCAUUAUAAUUCUUGGUCAAACUCUAAGCAACCAGCAGUGGAUGGUGAGCAUUGAAGGUCACGUUGUAUGUGAGGGAACACAACUCAGCUUUGUCUGUGGCCGUACUGCUGUGUUUGCUUCAUGUGUGGACACUUUUUCUUUGGUGUCGUUUCUUGUGACUGAAGACAGAGAAAGCAAAAUUAAAAUGAUAUAUUGACAUCAACCCUGAACAAAUGUUCAAGGCCAAUCAAGGAAAAGCUACAUCCAAGAAGACUA
Long non-coding RNA from Polypterus senegalus (gray bichir), 470 nucleotides. RefSeq lists it as uncharacterized. Lineage: Eukaryota; Metazoa; Chordata; Cladistia; Polypteriformes; Polypteridae. The transcript has 5 exons. The record is from RefSeq and is a predicted model, not a curated record.